GUGGGAGGGGGCUUGCCCCCGAUAGCGUUGGUUCAGUCAAUGUCCUGGGACUGACACACUGCAAUCGGGGGCAAGCCCCCUCCCAC
Molecule: unclassified non-coding RNA, 86 nt
Filed under: Pseudomonas grimontii
Lineage: Bacteria; Pseudomonadati; Pseudomonadota; Gammaproteobacteria; Pseudomonadales; Pseudomonadaceae
Source: RNAcentral